RNAcentral lists this ribosomal RNA (253 nucleotides) under uncultured bacterium. RNAcentral's name for it is "partial 16S ribosomal RNA". It matches the Rfam family "Bacterial small subunit ribosomal RNA", at positions 524 to 776 of the family's 1533-position model. The record is from RNAcentral.
UACGUAGGGUGCAAGCGUUGUCCGGAAUUAUUGGGCGUAAAGAGCUCGUAGGCGGUUUGUCGCGUCGAAUGUGAAAACCCGGGGCUCAACCCCGGGCCUGCAUUCGAUACGGGCAGACUAGAGUUCGGUAGGGGAGUCUGGAAUUCCUGGUGUAGCGGUGAAAUGCGCAGAUAUCAGGAGGAACACCGGUGGUGUAGACGGCUUUCUGGACCGUAACUGACGCUGAGACACGAAAGCGUGGGUAGCAAACAGG